GCCUCAGAUUAAACCAAGCUCAGCUGGGAGUCAUCCCUGACACCGUUACACCUGCCUCAUAACCCCAUCCAGGAAUGCAGAGACCUCGGCACGGCUGGUCCUGCCGCGGCGCAUCUGCGCCUUCUGCAGAAGGGACGGGCCGGUUUCGACCAGAUGCAGCAGGGGACCCAGGCGUUAAGAACAGGCCCAAACUCUCUCCGCAUCCCCGCCAGCUCCUGUCGUUUCCUGACUUCUGACUGGUGUGAGGUGGGAUCUCAUGGUGUUGAGUAUGGUGUGAAAUUUAAGAAACAGGAUCAUAG
Long non-coding RNA from Zalophus californianus (California sea lion), 299 nucleotides. RefSeq lists it as uncharacterized. The transcript has 3 exons. The record is from RefSeq and is a predicted model, not a curated record. NCBI's taxonomy places the organism in Eukaryota, Metazoa, Chordata, Mammalia, Carnivora, Otariidae.